GCGUUAUCCGGAUUCACUGGGUUUAAAGGGUGUGUAGGCGGGCUAUUAAGUCAGUGGUGAAAUCUCCGAGCUUAACUUGGAAACUGCCAUUGAUACUAUUAGUCUUGAAUUCUGUUGAGGUUGGCGGAAUAUAUCAUGUAGCGGUGAAAUGCAUAGAUAUGAUAUAGAACCCCGAUUGCGAAGGCAGCUAACUAAGCAGAUAUUGACGCUGAGGCACGAAAGCGUG
This 226-nucleotide ribosomal RNA is filed under the name uncultured bacterium. RNAcentral's name for it is "partial 16S ribosomal RNA". It matches the Rfam family "Bacterial small subunit ribosomal RNA", at positions 538 to 763 of the family's 1533-position model. The record is from RNAcentral.